AAAGGGUAUCGCUGCUUCUAUCCA
Molecule: non-coding RNA, 24 nt
Filed under: Arabidopsis thaliana (thale cress)
Lineage: Eukaryota; Viridiplantae; Streptophyta; Magnoliopsida; Brassicales; Brassicaceae
Source: RNAcentral